This 492-nucleotide ribosomal RNA is filed under the name uncultured bacterium. Its description in RNAcentral is "partial 16S ribosomal RNA". It matches the Rfam family "Bacterial small subunit ribosomal RNA", at positions 29 to 507 of the family's 1533-position model. The record is from RNAcentral.
AGUGAACGCUGGCGGUAGGCCUAACACAUGCAAGUCGAACGGCAGCACAGUAAGAGCUUGCUCUUACGGGUGGCGAGUGGCGGACGGGUGAGGAGUACAUCGGAAUCUACUUUUUCGGGGGGGAUAACGUAGGGAAACUUACGCUAAUACCGCAUACGACCUACGGGUGAAAGCAGGGGAUCUUCGGACCUUGCGCGAUUGAAUGAGCCGAUGUCGGAUUAGCUAGUGGGCGGGGUAAAGGCCCACCAAGGCGACGAUCCGUAGCCGGUCUGAGUGGAUGAUCGCCCACACUGGAACUUAGACACGGUCCUGAGUACUACGGGAGGCAGCAGUGGGGAAUAUUGGGCAAUGGGCGCAAGCCUGAUCCAGCCGUCCCGCGUGGGUGAAGAAGGCCUUCGGGUUGUAAAGCCCUUUUGUGGGGAAAGAAAAGCAGCAGGUUAAUACCCCGCUGUUCUGACGGUACCCAAAGAAUAAGCACCGGCCAACUUCGUG